ACCGAGAAGAAAGGAGAGAGAUGAGGUGUUCUAUGAACAUCUGUCCCUGAUGAAUUCCAAGGAAAGACGGGCCCACUCAUGAGAGAUCUACUACCCCCCGCAACCCAUGUAUUCUAGGAUCCACGCAGCUCUUUUCAGUCCUAGAAGUUUCAUCAGUUAUACCUGCUUCCCUGAGAGCUGAAUGAUCUGACUAAAGGCAAGUUUUGGUAAGUAGUUUAUUUUUACACUGUUCCUUUCUGUUCAGAAUAAACAAUAAUGUGUGAGGCAGUGUGUUUGGUGUCCUAUAUUCCUGAUAGCUAAUAUUAUUCAAAUUUCAUUUGAUUUGAAUAAUUCUUUUCUCUGAACUUUAGUGCAGGAGUGUGUGGCAGGUGAGGGGAAGCUCUAUUUGCUAUGCUUUAAAGACUCACUUUCAUCUUUCUGGAACAAAGCAAGAGAAAACACAUACCACGCACCACAAUUCCAUAUACACAGUACUGUUUACCUAUAGUGUUUUCCAGUUUUGUGUAGGUGCAGUUAAUAGAUUUCUUCAUAGUUAUAUCCAAAAUGAAGAGGUGGCAUCAUAAUGCCUAGACCCUUAGGGAAAAACACAUUAAAGAUGUACAUUUCCCAAAAAUGAGUCAGUUGAUUUUAUUCAUUAAAAAUAUGCAUAAUAAAAGGCCAAGCACAAAGCUCUUUAUAAAAAGGAGCAAAAUGUAUUUUCCAGAAGAGUUAGAUAAAGGCAUGAGAUGAAUUUCAGUUAAAUGGAUCUAUUUCUUUGUGGGUUUUGAGAACUCAUUUUAGAUACUGAAUAGAGGCUGUUUUACAUUAUAAUCAUAGCUAGAGAUUACAUAGAUGGAGGGAAAAAAAGUCUUUUGCUUUAACUCUUACUAAAUUUCUAUAAAGUAUUUUAAAAUCAAUUUAAAAACCAAAUCUGUACCUCUCCCCUCUAUCACAGUUUUUGUAAGUAAUUAAGAAUUUUACCCGUACGAUUGCACAGCGACUAGGGAAGAGAGAGGUAGAUGAUUCGGCCACCCUCUCACAAGGAAACCCCCAAAUACUUUAGGGCAUUAAACACAAGGCUUUUGUUAUCCAAAAGUAAUUAGUUGCAGAGUACAAAAACAUUUUGGAGCAGAAUGUACAUAAACAUGAGUCAUAAACAGCCGAAACCAAGAACACUAACAGUAAGUUCAUAAAGAAAUGCAUAAAUUCUAUGUAUCUUACAAAAAUGAUCCUCACAGAUGUUGAAUCCAAGAUUAUACAAUAGAAAAUAUCUAUAUGUUUUACAUUUAAUAUAAA
This 1275-nucleotide long non-coding RNA is filed under the name Pan troglodytes (chimpanzee). RNAcentral's name for it is "long non-coding RNA NONPTRT001136". The record is from RNAcentral. Lineage: Eukaryota; Metazoa; Chordata; Mammalia; Primates; Hominidae.